GCGUCUUUAGCUCAGUUGGUAGAGCAUCGCACUUUUAAUGCGAGAGCCCGGAGUUCGAGUCUCCGAAGGCGCACCA
Molecule: transfer RNA, 76 nt
Filed under: Clostridia bacterium
Lineage: Bacteria; Bacillati; Bacillota; Clostridia
Description: tRNA-Lys
Rfam family: tRNA
About the family: Transfer RNA (tRNA) molecules are approximately 80 nucleotides in length.
Source: RNAcentral